AGUUUCAGGUGAUUCAACAUUUAUACAUUGUGAAGGGAUUGCCACAAUAAGUUCUGGUCAUCUACCACCAUAUGAAGGUUUAGCUGUCAUAUUGGAGGCUGCCAGUAGGUGGCAAUGUAAUUUAUGAAGACAUUAGAAGAAAGAAAGCUGUGUGAAGGAAAACGUCUCUUAAAAAAAAAUGCAAUUUAUUAUUGAUCACGGAACCAAGGCCAAACUAGGAAAAAGAACACAGGUAACACUCUAAAUACCAAGAUAUCAGAUUUUACACAGCUCCAUCUAAGUUUUCAGUGUUCAGUUGUGGGCCCUGGGCAUACCGAGAAGCUGAGCGAUCACAGACAAAAUGAAAAGGAUUAGAGAGAUCCAGUUCUUGCCUGGAGGAAUACACACCUGGCAAGUGGCAGAACCAGGGUGAAUGAUAGCAGAAAUGGUG
Molecule: long non-coding RNA, 430 nt
Organism: Lutra lutra (Eurasian river otter)
Lineage: Eukaryota; Metazoa; Chordata; Mammalia; Carnivora; Mustelidae
Exons: 4
Source: RefSeq, a predicted model, not a curated record